AAAGAAAGGCAGAGCCUGGGAAUUAGUAUUUCUGCAGAAGCAGUGGUUUGAAAACCAUUGAAUGAAGACUGUUAGCCACACUGACUUUUAUUUAAAAACAAAGAUUUCACCUUUUUUUCUUUUAAGGUGCUGAUGAACUCUUGAUCCUAUUGAAGCUGUUCUCAAAACAUUCUAUUGACUUCAUUCAUGCAGAGCUAAAUAGCACAUUAGAAGACUGAAAGGGGCCCUGGAAUGACACACAAUGGUGGAAAUGGGAGAGAGAGAAAAGGUGACACAAAAAUCUAAAGUCUACAGGCCAAAUACAGCUCUCUCUUACUCUUGUGGAAUCCUACUGACUCCGAUAUAUAUCAGCUGUCUUCAGUGGAGAAACUGAAGGAUAUGCUUCUGCAAUUGCAAGAGAAUCAACAAAUCUAUUCAUAAUAUUUUGCCCAAAAGACCCAGCAUGUUUUCCUGCAGGUGAGUUGGUACUGGAUUUGAGA
Molecule: long non-coding RNA, 479 nt
Filed under: Anser brachyrhynchus (Pink-footed goose)
Lineage: Eukaryota; Metazoa; Chordata; Aves; Anseriformes; Anatidae
Description: lncRNA (ENSABRG00000023149.1)
Source: RNAcentral